RNAcentral lists this transfer RNA (73 nucleotides) under Mustela putorius furo (domestic ferret). It matches the Rfam family "tRNA". From Rfam's summary of the family: Transfer RNA (tRNA) molecules are approximately 80 nucleotides in length. Their secondary structure includes four short double-helical elements and three loops (D, anti-codon, and T loops). The record is from Rfam by way of RNAcentral. Lineage: Eukaryota; Metazoa; Chordata; Mammalia; Carnivora; Mustelidae.
ACACGGCUGGCUCAGUGGGAAGAGCAUGGGACUGUUGAUCUCAGGGUUGUGAGUUUGAGUCCCACAUUGGGUG